UCUAAUGUGACAGAAUUUAUGUAAUGAAUUUAAAAUUCAUAAAUAAAGAUUAAUCUUUCUUUAGAA
Molecule: transfer RNA, 66 nt
Filed under: Arctopsyche spinescens
Lineage: Eukaryota; Metazoa; Arthropoda; Insecta; Trichoptera; Hydropsychidae
Description: tRNA-Leu
Source: RNAcentral